CCCGCGCUCCUCCGGGCAGAGCGCGUGUGGCGGCCGAGCACAUGGGCCCGCGGGCCGGGCGGGCUCGGGGCGGCCGGGACGAGGAGGGGCGACGACGAGCUGCGAGCAAAGAUGUGCCCCGGGACCCCCGGCACCUUCCAGUGGAUUUCCUUGCGGAAAGGAUGUUGGCGGUCCCUGUGACCUGUGGAGACACGGCCAGAUCUGCCCUCCAGACCAUAGCUGUCUGCAGUGCAGGAAGCCAACUAUUAAGGGGAAACAAAAGUGUUCUUAGGAGUCCUGCUGUCACUGUGGAUUGAGCCGGUGAAGCCCUGAGGGAUUUCAUCGCUGAGGUGGAUGGAGAAGCAGCUGGGGGCCUUGGCUGUAAGGACCCCUAAGGGCCUGAUCUUUUGGCCAGAAGGAGAUUAAAAAGAUGCCCCUCAAGAUGGCUGUGCCUGUCAGCUGCAUGGAGCUUCGUUCAAGUAUUUUCUGAGCCUGAUGGAUUUACAGUGAUCUUCAGUGGUCUGGGGAAUAACGCUGGUGGAACCAUGCACUGGAAUGACACACGCCCGGCACAUUUCAGGAUACUAAAAGUGGUUUUAAGGGAGGCUGUGGCUGAAUGCCUCAUGGAUUCUUACAGCUUGGAUGUCCAUGGGGGACGAAGGACUGCAGCUGGCUGAGAGGGUUGAGAUCUCUGUUUACUUAGAUCUCUGCCAACUUCCUUUGGGUCUCCCUAUGGAAUGUAAGACCCCGACUCUUCCUGGUGAAGCAUCUGAUGCACGUUCCAUCCGGCGCUCAGCUGGGCUUGAGCUGACCAUACUCCCUGGAGCCUUCUCCCGAGGUGCGCGGGUGACCUUGGCACAUACAGCCAUCAUGAUGGUACUUUAAGUGGAGGCUGAAUCAUCUCCCCUUUGAGCUGCUUGGCACGUGGCUCCCUUGGUGUUCCCCUUUUACUGCCAGGACACUGAGAUUUGGAGAGAAUCCUGUUACACCUGGGAUUUAGGCACUUUCAAUCUGAAAAAAUACAUAUCCUUUCAGCACUCUGGACGGACUUGAGAACUGUCCUUACGUGACCUAAAGCUGGAGUAUUUUGAGAUUGGAGAAUUAAGGCCAACAGAGAUUUUGAGAAACACAUUGAAGGAUCUGUUAACACUUGAUAUACCCAAUAAAAGCAGUGGUUGUGCCAGUGCUGAUCUGUCUUGAUGUGAAUGUGAACAAUGGGAACCUGAGCUGAGCAGUUAAUGCUAGGGUGACAGAAACUGGACCUCUCCCAAGACAUGUGACAGAGUAAUACAGCAGCCAACUUCUUCGCCAAAUUAAAGUUUUACAAGAUUUAACCUGUCAUCAAGACCUGGGAUUUUGGUGAGCCAGUCUUGGUGCUCUGUGUUCACCUGGUUCAUCUGAGGAGCUGCAUCUACCCUGCCCAUGCCAUAGAUCCUGCCCUGUUUGCUUCUCCUGUUGCUGCUAGUGGACAUGAGAAGGACAGAAUAACGGGCUCCCAGAUUCACAAGCCCCACCAAGAGGAUCACCCCAGGAACGCUUGGAGGCUGAGGAGUUCACUGAGGCUACUGCAUCUUGAGACUCAGGAUGAAGACCCAGCUUGGGGCUGUCAAAGGUUUUUUGCAUGUCUGACACCCAUGACUCCACCUGGACCUUAUGGCUCCACCCAGAAGCAAUUCAGCCCAACAGGAGGACAGCUUCAACCCAUUACGAUUUCAUCUCUGCCCCAACCACUCAGCAGCAAGCACCUGUUACCUGUCCACCCCCACCCCUUCCCCCAAACUGCCUUUGAAAAAUCCCUAACCUAUGAGCUUUGAAUAAGAUGAGUACGAACUUCAUCGCCCACGUGGCGUGGCCGGCCUCGUGUCUAUUAAAUUCUUUUUCUACUACAA
This 1868-nucleotide long non-coding RNA is filed under the name Homo sapiens (human). RNAcentral's name for it is "Pvt1 oncogene, transcript variant 40 (PVT1)". The stretch from base 34 to 211 matches the Rfam family "Pvt1 oncogene conserved region 1". The record is from RNAcentral. Lineage: Eukaryota; Metazoa; Chordata; Mammalia; Primates; Hominidae.